UAUAUCUUAGUGUAAGAUGCACAAAAAUUUUUGAAAUUUUUAGGAAUAGUUUAAUUCUAUUAGAUAUAA
This 69-nucleotide transfer RNA is filed under the name Rhinoestrus usbekistanicus. RNAcentral's name for it is "tRNA-Gln". The record is from RNAcentral. Lineage: Eukaryota; Metazoa; Arthropoda; Insecta; Diptera; Oestridae.